Molecule: microRNA precursor, 93 nt
Filed under: Nomascus leucogenys (northern white-cheeked gibbon)
Lineage: Eukaryota; Metazoa; Chordata; Mammalia; Primates; Hylobatidae
Description: mir-544 microRNA precursor family
Rfam family: mir-544 microRNA precursor family
Source: Rfam by way of RNAcentral
AUCACUCAGGAUCUUGUUAAAAUGCAGACUCUGAUCCAGUAAGGCCUGGGCCUGAGACUCUGCAUUUCUGACAAGCUCCCCAGGUGAAGCCAG